GCCUUCAUGGUGUAGUGGUCAGCACGCUGUUUCUCAUAUUCCAGAGGUCCGUGGUUCGAGUCCCGGCGAAGACG
Molecule: transfer RNA, 74 nt
Filed under: Stegodyphus mimosarum
Lineage: Eukaryota; Metazoa; Arthropoda; Arachnida; Araneae; Eresidae
Rfam family: tRNA
About the family: Transfer RNA (tRNA) molecules are approximately 80 nucleotides in length.
Source: Rfam by way of RNAcentral